UUUUCUCCUUUUCGUUCAGCUUGCUUACACCCAAACACUCCCGACCCUCCAGCCUUACUCCCCUUUCCCGGUAUGCACACAAGCACCGUGGCCAUGAUGAACAAGGGGGGUGGUGGUGAGCGGCCGACUAUCGCAGCGUUGGACCGCGGCGACGGCGUCGACUUGAAGCGGGAAAGCAGUCUUCUGCCAGGUGAGGUGCGCACACCAACCAUGAUUGUCACGCUCUCGGAAGCCUGGGGCGAUAGCAGCGCCGACUGGGCGGCUCCAGGCAGUAGCUCUGUCUGGGAAGAGGAGGCGGCGAACCGUCCUUCAGCGCAGACCCCCCUGACACGCUACGGCCGCAGUGAUGUGUGGGCCUCUGCGACAGGAUCGCCGCUCAUGGGCGACGGUAUCGUACAUCAGCACAACUUUGGGCAGACCGAGGCAAAGGGCAACACCGAUAGCCCAGACACUGCCGAGUUGGCCGCGGCAGCUCUGCAGGCCCUCUCGCCCCAAGGAGUGCUGCACACGGACUCGCGUGGAGUGCAUGUGCCCCUGCCGCAGCGACAGCCGUUGCAGCCGCGCUACUCGACCACUGUUCACUAUGGCUACGAAAGCCGCUUUGGCACCGUUCACGAAGCGCCAUUAAACAACGAUCUCACGCAGUUUUUCCCACGCCCCCGGCAGCAGCAAUCACCCCAAAAGCCGAACUACUUCACGGUUCAGGAAAGCUCAGUCGCCCCAAGCGCGGCGUUAGCAGAACCCACUGCGAUGUCUCGCGGCGGUACCCGCACGACCAGCCCUGGGAGUGACGCGGUAUUCUCCGGCGGCUCCACUGGGAUGUCGUAUGUGCCGCGGUUAGAGGACGAGGAGGUGGCCCACCGCAUCAUCGUCUCUGCAGGUUUACCGCUGGCGAUGCACUCGCUUGUCGAGUACAUCCACGGAGGCCAGCCGCGCGCGCCAGCGCACGCCACUGCACUAGGAACAACUCAGAAUGCGCUGCGCAAUUACCCGAAUCUGAGUGACCCGCCAGCAGAGGAAGAGGCGUUCGGUAGUCGCGGCGGUACUGGUGGUUCUUACGGUAGCCGUCCACAGCGUGGCGGGUACGGGCAGUCGUUGCAGGGCCGCUGUGGGCCGACGAUUCCGUCCUUGAAGCAGGACAACGGCUUUGCCGUCCGUGGUCAAGACGCCAUCGACGACUCUCCGCAAGACCAGGCGCUGGCGCCGUCGUCCAACUACGGCGGCGGCUUCAUGGUGUCCGCUGGCACUGGCACCACGGCGCCGUCAAGGGUAUCGGCGCGCGCACCUUAUAGUGCACAUGGAAACGGUGUUGCUGGGCGCCACAAGAGCGAGAGUAAGUACCUUAGCGACUUGCUGCAUUUUCACGCGAACUUUUUUCCACCGCCGCCGCCACCGCGUGUGCCCAAGGACGAGCGCCGCAACCGCGCCGAGCUGUGGUACCACUACGCGAGCAAGUGGGACAUCACGCACCGCCUGCCGCCGCCGCCGCGGACGCCACUCCCCGAGAUGGAGCUCGAGUACCGCAUGCGCCUGCAGCAAAUGACGCGUGUGCCGUACCACGGCGACGGGUGGCUGCAGAUGAGCGAGCGGUGGUUCGACGUCAUGCAGGCGCUCUUUGACUUCCCCGAGGACAACGUCGGCGACGAGGUGGACUUCAACGUUGUCCUCCAGCAGGCAGUGCUGAGCUAAGUGAGGAAUGCAUUCGUGUGCACCAAACGGCGUGUGUCUCCCGCGGGCGCGUGCGCGGGACUGCACGCGCGGCUUUGUCGCUUCUGCUUCCUCAACGCAUGGCGUCUGCUGGGCGCCUAUAUUCGACGUGAGGGCGACAUUGGUGCAAAGAAGACGAGGCUUCUCUGCUCGCCUGCCGUCUUCUAACUGCCGCCGCGCACCUCGUCUUCUCUAUCCACGUCUGCUUCUCUCUCUGCCUCUCUGCCUUUCCCACUUCUCGUGCUGUGAGGAGGCGGCCCGAGGCCGCCUGGGAGGUGCUCGGUGGUAGCGUCUCGGCCCCUGACAGCGUGGCACUGCGGUUCCGUUCGCCUUUGCUGGGGGGGGGACGGACGAAUCGAAAGGAAUAAUAAGAAUGAACAUCAGAAAAGAAGCUAAGGCGGGCUGUUCGAAUCUAUAAGCACAAGAAGCUGCAUGCGAUAAAGACCUGCGUGCCCGAGAAUCCUUGCUAGUAUCGAUAGCAGGCAGGGGCGUCUUGUUGUGGUCUAGCCGUCCACGACGCACAUCGGCGCAAAGAGGAUGAGAAGCACGCAUCGUUGGAAGAGGAAGUCGUCGGCGCGUUGUCCUUUCCCUACCCCCUUUUUGCCUUGUGCAGCGCCCUUCUCCCAACCCCUCCCCCCCCCCCACCACCACCACCAACACCACUACCAUCACCACUACACACCGCGACACCCAUGCUUUCCUUUUGCCUCCCGUCUUCUGCCAUGCAG
RNAcentral lists this unclassified non-coding RNA (2435 nucleotides) under Leishmania donovani. RNAcentral's name for it is "gene:LdHU3.31.4420(CDS-product:hypothetical_prote in_conserved)". The record is from RNAcentral. Lineage: Eukaryota; Euglenozoa; Kinetoplastea; Trypanosomatida; Trypanosomatidae.